Molecule: long non-coding RNA, 384 nt
Organism: Labeo rohita (rohu)
Lineage: Eukaryota; Metazoa; Chordata; Actinopteri; Cypriniformes; Cyprinidae
Exons: 3
Source: RefSeq, a predicted model, not a curated record
ACAACCGACACCCCGAAAGAAAGUGUUAACUUACUCACGGAGGACGGUAGAACAGUCGUUACGUGGUGGCGAAAGCUCGCGUUUGGCAGGUACAGCUUUACUGAAGGUGUUAUCCAAUUCAGACAGACGACGAAGACAGAACUGAUUCAGCAACAUCAACAACAUGGAAAAAGAAAUCAAAGAAUGCUGUGUAUGAAAACGUCCCAAAAAAGCGAUGAUUGAAUACCACAUCUACAGAAAUUAAUGCUACAGCUCACGCAGGGCAAUAGCACAUGUAUUCACCGUUUUGUCUGUUUUGUUUUUAUUGUGAUGUUUAGCAUUUGUUGCUCUGUAUUACUGUAAUAGUGGCAUUCAACAAUUAUAAACUAAAGUAUUAUAUUUAUA